Molecule: ribosomal RNA, 253 nt
Filed under: uncultured bacterium
Lineage: Bacteria
Description: partial 16S ribosomal RNA
Rfam family: Bacterial small subunit ribosomal RNA
Source: RNAcentral
UACGUAGGGCGCGAGCGUUGUCCGGAAUCAUUGGGCGUAAAGAGCUCGUAGGCGGCCGGUUACGUCUGCUGUGAAAUCCCGGGGCUUAACCCCGGGCGUGCAGUGGAUACGGGCUGGCUGGAGGCAGGCAGGGGAGAAUGGAAUUCCCGGUGUAGCGGUGAAAUGCGCAGAUAUCGGGAGGAACACCGGUGGCGAAGGCGGUUCUCUGGGCCUGUGCCGACGCUGAGGAGCGAAAGCGUGGGGAGCGAACAGG